GACGAACGCUGGCGGCGUGCUUAACACAUGCAAGUCGAGCGGUAAGGCCCUUUCGGGGGUACGACGAGCGGCGAACGGGUGAGUAACACGUGGGUGACCUGCCCUCCAGCUCUGGGAUAAGCCUGGGAAACCGGGUCUAAUACUGGAUAUGACUCCAUGACGCAUGUUGUGGGGUGGGAAAGCCUUGUGCGGCUGAGGAUGGGCCCGCGGCCUAUCAGCUUGUUGGUGGGGUGGAUGGCCUACCAAGGCGACGACGGGUAGCCGG
Molecule: ribosomal RNA, 265 nt
Filed under: uncultured bacterium
Lineage: Bacteria
Description: partial 16S ribosomal RNA
Rfam family: Bacterial small subunit ribosomal RNA
Source: RNAcentral